RNAcentral lists this ribosomal RNA (483 nucleotides) under uncultured bacterium. Its description in RNAcentral is "bacterial SSU rRNA". It matches the Rfam family "Bacterial small subunit ribosomal RNA", at positions 348 to 823 of the family's 1533-position model. The record is from RNAcentral.
GCAGCAGUAGGGAAUCUUCCACAAUGGGCGAAAGCCUGAUGGAGCAACGCCGCGUGGGUGAAGAAGGUCUUCGGAUCGUAAAACCCUGUUGUUAGAGAAGAAAGUGCGUGAGAGUAACUGUUCACGUUUCGACGGUAUCUAACCAGAAAGCCACGGCUAACUACGUGCCAGCAGCCGCGGUAAUACGUAGGUGGCAAGCGUUAUCCGGAUUUAUUGGGCGUAAAGGGAACGCAGGCGGUCUUUUAAGUCUGAUGUGAAAGCCUUCGGCUUAACCGGAGUAGUGCAUUGGAAACUGGGAGACUUGAGUGCAGAAGAGGAGAGUGGAACUCCAUGUGUAGCGGUGAAAUGCGUAGAUAUAUGGAAGAACACCAGUGGCGAAAGCGGCUCUCUGGUCUGUAACUGACGCUGAGGUUCGAAAGCGUGGGUAGCAAACAGGAUUAGAUACCCUGGUAGUCCACGCCGUAAACGAUGAAUGCUAAGUGU